RNAcentral lists this non-coding RNA (209 nucleotides) under Pongo abelii (Sumatran orangutan). Lineage: Eukaryota; Metazoa; Chordata; Mammalia; Primates; Hominidae. The record is from RNAcentral.
CUUUGUGAUAGUCUGAGGUCCAAGAAGGGAUUAAAACCAGGAACUGGCUCCUUUUCCAACCACUAAAGCCUCAUCUGGGCCCACAAGCCCUGGCUGUUCCCUGGAGCGUGACUGGAAGAUGUGAGCAGCUUUGUGCUGGAGCCCCAUUUCCAUGGUGCAUGCUGCUGCCAAACCAGAGAUCACUUGUAGACUUGAAAGGGAACAUGAGC